AUUGAACGCUGGCGGAAUGCUUUACACAUGCAAGUCGAACGGCAGCACGGACUUCGGUCUGGUGGCGAGUGGCGAACGGGUGAGUAAUAUAUCGGAACGUGCCCAGUCGUGGGGGAUAACGUAGUGAAAAUUACGCUAAUACCGCAUACGAUCUACGGAUGAAAGCGGGGGAUCGCAAGACCCCGCGCGAUUGGCGCGGCCGAUAUAAGAUUAGGUAGUUGGGGAGGUAAAGGCUCACCAAGCCAACGAUCUGUAGCUGGUCUGAGAGGACGACCAGCCACACUGGGACUGAGACACGGCCCAGACUCCUACGGGAGGCAGCAGUGGGGAAUUUUGGACAAUGGACGCAAGUCUGAUCCAGCCAUUCCGCGUGCAGGACGAAGGCCUUCGGGUUGUAAACUGCUUUUGUACAGAACGAAAAGGUUUCUAUUAAUACUAGGGGCUCAUGACGGUACUGUAAGAAUAAGCACCGGCUAACUACGUGCCAGCCGCCGCCGUAA
Molecule: ribosomal RNA, 500 nt
Filed under: uncultured bacterium
Lineage: Bacteria
Description: partial 16S ribosomal RNA
Rfam family: Bacterial small subunit ribosomal RNA
Source: RNAcentral